CUGAGUUCCUGGGAAGAGCACGAUGAAAACUGAAGUCCCUCAUCUGCCUGACAGGCUGACAAUAGUGAUGCACUUCUAAUGAAUAGAACAAGGCAGAAGUGAUGCUGAAUGAUUUUUGAAGCCAGGUCAUGAGAAAUUAUACAGCUUCUGCCUGGCUCUCUCUCUCUCAAGAUGCUCACUCUUGGAACCCAGGAACUAUGUUGUGGAGAAGACUACUCUGCGUGGAGAGGUCAUGUGAAGGACCUCUCCAGAGCAGGAGCUCCCACCCCUUCAAUUAGGCGAUUGGCCAGGCCUAAGAUGUGCCACCUACAAGAUAAAACAGAAGUGUACCCAAGGACAACACAAUAAGGAGAGACACCCAAGUUCCAGAACGAGAAAGGAGCUGCCCUAAGAUUGCCACAUAAGGAAGUCACUAUAGCCUGCUGGAGGACACACAGAGAAGAGCCAAGAUCCCCAACCAAUAGUACGAAUCAACCGCCAGACGAAUGAGUGGGACCAUCUUGUACCUUCUAGCCCAGCUAACCUUCAGCUGAAUGUGUGCUAACCCAGGAAAAACUACCAGAGGACCCACCAGCCAAC
Long non-coding RNA from Ailuropoda melanoleuca (giant panda), 579 nucleotides. RefSeq lists it as uncharacterized. The transcript is spliced from 4 exons. The record is from RefSeq and is a predicted model, not a curated record. Lineage: Eukaryota; Metazoa; Chordata; Mammalia; Carnivora; Ursidae.